GACGAACGCUGGCGGCAUGCCUAAUACAUGCAAGUCGAGCGAACAGAUGGAGUGCUUGCACUUCUGACGUUAGCGGCGAACGGGUGGGUAACACGUAAGGAAUCUACCUAUAAGCGGGGGAUAACAUUCGGAAACGGGUGCUAAUACCGCAUAAUAUCUUCUUCCGCAUGGAAGAAGAUUGAAAGACGGCUCUGCUGUCACUUAUAGAUGACCUUGCGGUGCAUUAGUUAGUUGGUGGGGUAACGGCCUACCAAGACGAUGAUGUAUAGCCGACCUGAGAGGGUGAUCGGCCACAUUGGGACUGAGACACGGCCCAAACUCCUACGGGAGGCAGCAGUAGGGAAUCUUCCGCAAUGGGCGAAAGCCUGACGGAGCAAUGCCGCGUGAGUGAAGAAGGCCUUCGGGUCGUAAAACUCUGUUAUAAGAGAAGAACAAAUUGUAGAGUAACUGCUACAGUCUUGACGGUAUCUUAUCAGAAAGCCACGGCUAACUACGUGCCAGCCGCCGCCGUAA
RNAcentral lists this ribosomal RNA (513 nucleotides) under uncultured bacterium. RNAcentral's name for it is "partial 16S ribosomal RNA". It matches the Rfam family "Bacterial small subunit ribosomal RNA", at positions 28 to 523 of the family's 1533-position model. The record is from RNAcentral.